AUAUUUGUGUGUAUUUUUAACUUUUCUGUGAAACUGAAAACAGAAAAACACAAUAAAAAAAGAUAAAUUAGAAAACGUCCCGUCGGAUUUCAACUUCUUAAAGACGAUAAUAAUUCAUAAACGUGUCAACGGUUAUGUGUUCAGAUUGUCGAUGGGCGGUGGUCAGGGCCCCCCCUCCCCCCUCAAGUCCUCCAAAUUCCCAUCCUCUGCUUCUGCUGCCGCCAAGAGGAUCGGGAGAAGUCCGGCGUCAACAGCGUCCAACAUCAGGAGCUCUCGGUUGGCGAGCUCUCUCAGCGAUCUUUACGUCGACGUAGAGGACGCCUCGCCCCCCCCCCCGUCCGCCGUGUCUCUCAGCUCCUCCCCCUCCCACAUGGCCCCGCCCCCUCUGUGUCGCUAUGGUAACGGCCCUCGUAGCACGCAGCACGAGGUAAACAACAAUGGCGGCGGUCCGUACGCCGACUCUGUGGCGCCCAGCGGCAGGAUUCAGGACCUGAGCCCCUACAGGGUCUCCUACAGUGCUCUGAGGGGCCGGUCAGGGACGCUACUUGAGCGCGAUCCAUACCUGUAAGUCUCCUCCGACACAGCUGCAGCUCUCUCUGAUUUGUCUAAUAUAUAAUAUUAUAUU
Molecule: long non-coding RNA, 625 nt
Filed under: Cottoperca gobio
Lineage: Eukaryota; Metazoa; Chordata; Actinopteri; Perciformes; Bovichtidae
Description: lncRNA (ENSCGOG00000003209.1)
Source: RNAcentral